CUUGCCAACCAUUGUUUUCUAUAGUUUGCUCGAUUUUUCAUGGGCAAGUAAAUCCAAUCCCUAGCACUGUUUUGUUAGAAGAUGCCCUGAGUAUUCAACUCAACCUUGACACAAGGCCUAACAAAGAGGGAGCCUUGGGCUGAGAGCCAGGAGCUUGUGAUUUGUCUUAGAUCAACAGGCUGGGUUUUCAGGGGUCCGGACUUACCAUGUACAAACACCCUGGUGCCUGGUCCAGACUUAAACUCCACAUCAGGGGUCCCUUUCUGGAACUUCACACAGUAGUAGGUACCAGCAUCUGCUGGGGUGAUGUUCCUGAUGCAGAUGGAAAAGUCCGUGUUGUUUCUCUUUGUGGCGUCUGCAACCUUUGUUACUCGAGGCGACUGGGGGGGGUGGUCUCCUCCUCUGAAGCUGAAGAUUAACUCCCGGCCUGGCCCUGUCCCCUUGAACCACUCCACCUUCCCAAGGGGGUGCAGGGAGGUCACGGUGCAGCGCAGAGUGGCCGUCUGUCCGGCUGCCAUAGCCACGGACUUGUCCGGCUGGAUCACCCUCAGCUCCGCCUCACCUGCCACACCUGGAGGGAAAACAUGUCAGUUCCAGAUCCCCUGCCUGGCCCCACAGACUUGUAGUUUUUUUGUGGGAAUAGACCUGGAAACUUUGAAAAACACUCAGGACUGGACGGCCCAGAGUCUGUCGACCUGGAGUCAGGCUGAUGUGGGUUCAAGGCUCAACUCCAGCACCGGACAAGCUGUUUGGGGGAACCCCUUCUCACUGGUUUCGGUUUCCUCUCUGUUAAGCAGGAUGGAUCAAGCCCUUCCCCAUCAGUUCUAGCAUGUUCCCAUGGCCCCUGCUCAGACCCAGGUAUGAAGACCCAGCUCUGGGGGCAUCAGGGACGGUGAGAAGGAGCAGCAGGAACUAUGGGCAGAACUCCACACACUUUCUGGGAGUUGGGAACCUACCAGAGGGAUCCCCAAGUUUCCUGAGGGCAUCAAGGGAGAUGGCAGAGGCAGUGAUGAGCAGCAGCAGCUUGGGGCCCAGGGAGAGAGCCGCCAGGAGUGGAAUGGACAGUUCUCGAUCUGGAAAUGAAGGGACAGGAGGCACCUUCAGAGAAAGAUCUAGGAGUCCACCCCCAGGGCCUCCACUUACUCCACCUGAGGAGACAUGGACCCAUCAAUGCUCUGAAGCUCAUGACUCUCCCCUGUGGGAGGCUCGAGGCAGAUCUCAGGCCUCCGUGAUCCUGUGUUCUCAUGUGCUGAGGGUGCUCUCAGGGUGACCUACCUCACGAGACCUGCGGGCUGGACGACACCUGAGGGGGGCAAGGAAGGUCUCAGGUGGGUGUUUGAACCACCACCCAGCCCACCUGGUCAUGCCAACGUCAGGUGAGGAUCAGAGCCCAGCAAAGGGAGCUGGGUCACAACCUUGAAGGAACCUCUGGAUUUGGGGCCACGCCCUUCUUGCCAUAUGACGCAGACAGAGCACAGUUCCUCCCAGCUGUCCUAAAAGGAGUCCAUGAUAAUGACCAGAUGAGGAGUCUGAGUCUGAGAGAAACAAGGGGCUGUUCCUCUCCCCUGACUGCAUCCCAGGGGGACUUCUGGUGGCCUCCAGCCUUCUUGUCACAACAGAACAAGAGCUCCAUCUUCUGGAGCCAACAGUGACUGCCACCGUCCUGUUCCCUCUGGGAGUCUCCACUGCAGGUUGUUCUGGGGAGGGGUCUCUGCAGGUGCCCAGGGCUGGGGACCCUUUAAAAACAGAGUGAAUAGAUGGAAUCUGGAGAGCUGAGUCUAGAAAAUGAACUCUUGCUCAUGGAGCACCCUGUCAUCUUUUGUCUGCAGACCCAGGAAUGGGGUUUCUGGGUGGUAUGGCUGGGAUUGUGGGGGCCCCUCUGCUCUGCCCAGGCUCGCACCCCAGGCUGCUCAGUGAAGGAUGAAUAUCCCACAACAGGGAAAGACUCCAGAUGCUCUUCUGUGCGUGGAGCCGUGUCCUCCAGGAAGAGGCUCAACAUUUCCUGAGACAUUUGUGUAUCUGUCUGAUCCGGGGUGUAAUGCUAGUUCCCCUCCUUCAAGUACUCAGUUCUGUUAACGCUUACUGCUGAAGAACAGAAAAAUUCAAGGUUUUCAAGGAGAGGCUUGGGGCGCUCUCCCACUUUGAUUAGCACAGUGACUGCACAGGGCAGGGCUGUGAGUCAGGCUCCUUGGGGUUUAAUCUUGGUGCCUCUGCUCGCUGAAGUCAGGUGCCCUGACCUCUGUGUCCACACCUGUAAAAGGGGCAGAAAUGGCUCCUCCCCCACUGUUGAUUUAGGUCACUGUCAUGAUGAAGGCACAGCAUGUGGCCUGAGGGCCUCCCUGGCCCCUCUGUCUCCAUCCCUUCUCAUCCAGGGCAUCACCUGGGUGAGCAGAUGAUAUAGAUCUGCCUGGCAGUGGAGCCUUGUGUAACUGUGGUGAGCAGGCAAGGGACUUACCACUGGGACCUUCUGCAAUAACUGCAUAAUCAGGAUCAAGCCACCUUUCCUGCCUAGGUCUGGGGCAGGUAUGAGGAAACUCAGUUGCUACCAUGAGAGUCAGUCCCUGAAUCACAGGAGCAUUUUCCAAACAGACCAACAGCGAAUGACCAACAUCUGGCAUCUCUUCUACUAGGGGUGACACAGUAAGCAGUGCGACCAUGUCUCUUCUCCCUGUGAUAUCCUGAAUGUUUAUAAGGAAGCUCACCUCUCCCUCCCUGCGCUGGGUGCACGUGUCCUCACUGGAAGGGCUGGGAAUGUGCGCUUCAUGAGAGAGGAGGCCUUGCAUGUUUUGUUCCUGGCUACUCCCACAGCGCACAGAGCAGCGAAUGCACACAGCAGGUGCUUAGUAAGCACUGAAUAAAGAGAACCCUGGCCACAUCAAUUGUUUCCCCACAACAGCUUUCGCUGACCGAGUGCACCCCGCGAGUGGGCCUUGACCUCAGCACGCUUCACGGACACGGCACGUAACCCUUACGAUGAGUCUGUAACACGGGACCCUAUUACAGCUGAGGACACCAAGCCACAGAGAGACUGUGUGACGUGGCACAUGGCAGGAGGGAGUGCCUCAGCCCUCCCUGAAAGCGCCUUGCUUCCCUGAAUGACUCUGCGUGUCUACUGUGUGGCCCCUUCUGGUGUUACACUUUCUGAGCCCUUGCUUUCAGUGGGACCACUUGACUUCUUUAGACCAUCGUGUGUGAGUUUAAGUGAUGGAUUAUUUUUCUGGACUGUGCAUUUAACUUCCAGAGCCCUCUAUGGAUUGACUCCCCUCCUCCACAAGCACAUGCACAUGCUGGGGUCUGUUCCAUCAGCCUGGGUAAUAGUGGCAGUGAUGGUCACAGCUUUCAACACACAAUAAACAUGUCUUAAAUGAGAAGAAAA
Suricata suricatta (meerkat) is the source of this 3376-nucleotide long non-coding RNA. RefSeq lists it as uncharacterized. The transcript has 7 exons. The record is from RefSeq and is a predicted model, not a curated record. Lineage: Eukaryota; Metazoa; Chordata; Mammalia; Carnivora; Herpestidae.